CUCGUGUUGUGAAAUGUUGGGUUAAGUCCCGCAACGAGCGCAACCCUUAUCCUUUGUUGCCAGCGAUUCGGUCGGGAACUCAAAGGAGACUGCCGGUGAUAAACCGGAGGAAGGUGGGGAUGACGUCAAGUCAUCAUGGCCCUUACGAGCAGGGCUACACACGUGCUACAAUGGCGCAUACAAAGAGAAGCGACCUCGCGAGAGCAAGCGGACCUCACAAAGUGCGUCGUAGUCCGGAUCGCAGUCUGCAACUCGACUCCGUGAAGUCGGAAUCGCUAG
RNAcentral lists this ribosomal RNA (279 nucleotides) under uncultured Pantoea sp. Its description in RNAcentral is "partial 16S ribosomal RNA". It matches the Rfam family "Bacterial small subunit ribosomal RNA", at positions 1059 to 1338 of the family's 1533-position model. Lineage: Bacteria; Pseudomonadati; Pseudomonadota; Gammaproteobacteria; Enterobacterales; Erwiniaceae. The record is from RNAcentral.